This 459-nucleotide ribosomal RNA is filed under the name uncultured bacterium. RNAcentral's name for it is "partial 16S ribosomal RNA". It matches the Rfam family "Bacterial small subunit ribosomal RNA", at positions 338 to 795 of the family's 1533-position model. The record is from RNAcentral.
CCUACGGGAGGCAGCAGUGAGGAAUAUUGGUCAAUGGGAGAAAUCCUGAACCAGCCAAGCCGCGUGAGGGAAGACGGCCCUAUGAGUUGUAAACCUCUUUUGUCGGAGAACAAAACCCGGGACGUGUACCGGACUGCGUGUAUCCGACGAAAAAGCAUCGGCUAACUCCGUGCCAGCAGCCGCGGUAAUACGGAGGAUGCGAGCGUUAUCCGGAUUUAUUGGGUUUAAAGGGUGCGUAGGCGGUCCGUUAAGUCAGCGGGAAAAUUGCGGGGCUCAACCCCGUCGAGCCGGUGAAACUGGCAGACUUGAGGUGGCGAGAAGCACGCGGAAUGCGCGGUGUAGCGGUGAAAUGCAUAGAUAUUGCGCAGAACUCCGAUUGCGAAGGCAGCGUACCGGCGCCAGACUGACGCUGAGGCACGAAAGCGUGGGGAUCGAACAGGAUUAGAUACCCCGGUAGUC